ACUAUUUUGGCAGAUUUAAUGCAAUAAAUUUAGAAUUUAUUUAAGUAAGAUAUUUUACAUAUAGUA
Molecule: transfer RNA, 66 nt
Filed under: Cramptonomyia spenceri
Lineage: Eukaryota; Metazoa; Arthropoda; Insecta; Diptera; Pachyneuridae
Description: tRNA-Leu
Source: RNAcentral